CCUACGGGAGGCAGCAGUGAGGAAUAUUGGUCAAUGGGCGCUAGCCUGAACCAGCCAAGUAGCGUGAAGGAUGACUGCCCUAUGGGUUGUAAACUUCUUUUAUAUGGGAAUAAAGUGCAGUAUGUAUACUGCUUUGCAUGUACCUUAUGAAUAAGGAUCGGCUAACUCCGUGCCAGCAGCCGCGGUAAUACGGAGGAUCCGAGCGUUAUCCGGAUUUAUUGGGUUUAAAGGGAGCGUAGGCGGGUUGUUAAGUCAGUUGUGAAAGUUUGCGGCUCAACCGUAAAAUUGCAGUUGAUACUGGCAGCCUUGAGUACAGUAGAGGUAGGCGGAAUUCGUGGUGUAGCGGUGAAAUGCUUAGAUAUCACGAAGAACUCCGAUUGCGAAGGCAGCCUGCUGGACUGUAACUGACGCUAAUGCUCGAAAGUGUGGGUAUCAAACAGGAUUAGAUACCCUGGUAGUC
RNAcentral lists this ribosomal RNA (460 nucleotides) under uncultured bacterium. RNAcentral's name for it is "partial 16S ribosomal RNA". It matches the Rfam family "Bacterial small subunit ribosomal RNA", at positions 338 to 795 of the family's 1533-position model. The record is from RNAcentral.